AUGCACCGUUUCUUUAAGACAGAAGCAUCUCAGCUUACGCACACAAAGCAAUGCACGCACGCAGACACACCAAAACACAUACCAAUCGACCCAGUUUCCCUUCAAACUGGUUUCUACCCACAACUGCCUUCUGAAAUCGAAUCCCUCCUUCCUCUUCCUCUGCUUCAUCUCCCUCCUCCCCUCCUCUUUUACCUCCUCCUCCUGCCUCCUGCCUUCGGCCUUCUCCUUCCCACCGCUCCUCCAUCCUCCCCCACCUCCUUCCCCCUCUGCCCCAUUCUCCCCCUCCCCAUCACCAGCACCACCACCACCGCCACCCCCGCCGCCACCACCACCAUUACCACCAACAACCCCACCUCCCUCACCUCUCCGUCCAUCCCUCUAUACUACCACCUCCUCCUCCCUUCCUUCUCCUCCUCCUCCUCCUCCUCGACCUCCCUCCCUCCCUCCUCCUGCUCCUCCACCUCUCUUUCCCCUCACCCCAUUCCUCUCCCUCCCUCCCUCCCUCCCUCCCUCCCUCCCUUCCUCCUCCUGCUCCUCCACCUCUCUUUCCCCUCACCCCAUUCCUCUCCCUCCCUCCACCUCCCUCCCUCCCUCCUCCUGCUCCUCCACCUCUCUUUCCCCUCACCCCAUUCCUCUCCCUCCCUCCCUCCCUCCCUCCCUCCCUCCCUCCUCCUGCUCCUCCACCUCUCUUUCCCCUCACCCCAUUCCUCUCCCUCCCUCCCUCCCUCCCUCCCUCCCUCCCUCCCUCCUCCUGCUCCUCCACCUCUCUUUCCCCUCACCCCAUUCCUCUCCCUCCCUCCCUCCCUCCCUCCCUCCCUCCCUCCCUCCCUCCCUUCCUCCUCCUGCUCCUCCACCUCUCUUUCCCCUCACCCCAUUCCUCUCCCUCCCUCCCUCCCUCCCUCCCUCCUCCUGCUCCUCCACCUCUCUUUCCCCUCACCCCAUUCCUCUCCCUCCCUCCCUCCCUCCCUCCCUCCCUCCUCCUGCUCCUCCCCCUCUCUUUCCCCUCACCCCAUUCCUCUCCCUCCCUCCCUCCCUCCCUUCCUCCUCCUGCUCCUCCACCUCUCUUUCCCCUCACCCCAUUCCUCUCCCUUCACUCCCUCCUCCUCCUUCUCAGAAUCCUCCUGGCCCUCCUAA
This 1134-nucleotide long non-coding RNA is filed under the name Gadus morhua (Atlantic cod). Its description in RNAcentral is "lncRNA (ENSGMOG00000037221.1)". The record is from RNAcentral. Lineage: Eukaryota; Metazoa; Chordata; Actinopteri; Gadiformes; Gadidae.